RNAcentral lists this transfer RNA (74 nucleotides) under Anaerolineae bacterium. Its description in RNAcentral is "tRNA-Pro". It matches the Rfam family "tRNA". From Rfam's summary of the family: Transfer RNA (tRNA) molecules are approximately 80 nucleotides in length. Lineage: Bacteria; Bacillati; Chloroflexota; Anaerolineae. The record is from RNAcentral.
CGGGGAUUAGCGCAGUCUGGUAGCGCGCACGGUUUGGGACCGUGAGGCCGCCGGUUCGAAUCCGGCAUCCCCGA